UACGUAGGUGGCAAGCGUUGUCCGGAAUUAUUGGGCGUAAAGCGCGCGUAGGCGGUCCUUUAAGUCUGAUGUGAAAGCCCACGGCUCAACCGUGGAGGGUCAUUGGAAACUGGGGGACUUGAGUACAGAAGAGGAGAGCGGAAUUCCACGUGUAGCGGUGAAAUGCGCAGAUAUCGGGAGGAACACCGGUGGCGAAGGCGGUUCUCUGGGCCUGACCUGACGCUGAGGAGCGAAAGCGUGGGGAGCGAACAGG
Molecule: ribosomal RNA, 253 nt
Filed under: uncultured bacterium
Lineage: Bacteria
Description: partial 16S ribosomal RNA
Rfam family: Bacterial small subunit ribosomal RNA
Source: RNAcentral